UACAGAGGGGGCAAGCGUUGUUCGGAAUUACUGGGCGUAAAGGGCGCGUAGGCGGCCUGCUAAGUCGAACGUGAAAUCCCCGGGCUCAACCCGGGAACUGCGUCCGAUACUGGCAGGCUUGAAUCCGGGAGAGGGAUGUGGAAUUCCAGGUGUAGCGGUGAAAUGCGUAGAUAUCUGGAGGAACACCGGUGGCGAAGGCGGCAUCCUGGACCGGCAUUGACGCUGAGGCGCGAAAGCGUGGGGAGCGAACAGG
This 253-nucleotide ribosomal RNA is filed under the name uncultured bacterium. RNAcentral describes it as "partial 16S ribosomal RNA". It matches the Rfam family "Bacterial small subunit ribosomal RNA", at positions 524 to 776 of the family's 1533-position model. The record is from RNAcentral.